RNAcentral lists this long non-coding RNA (2231 nucleotides) under Chinchilla lanigera (long-tailed chinchilla). RNAcentral describes it as "lncRNA (ENSCLAG00000026429.1)". Lineage: Eukaryota; Metazoa; Chordata; Mammalia; Rodentia; Chinchillidae. The record is from RNAcentral.
AUGCAGAGGACAUGCCAGGGAGGAGCUGAUGAAGAACUAGCAAACAAACCAGCAACAGUCUACAGGAAAAGAAAAAUCACAGCGUUCCUAAAGCCCCAAACCUUCAAGGGACCGGAGCUGAAAACAUGGCAUAGAGCUCUCCUCAGGGAAGGAGAGACAGUUUCCUUCUCAGGGAAGGAGAGAAGGCUGCAGAGGUUCCUGGGUACCAGACCAUCUUCUACUCCAAACCUCUGCGGCCCUUCUGCUUUCCCAUCUGCCCACGCUCACAAGGUCAGUCCGGACCCCCAGAAGAGCCUUUGGGGCAGGCAGAGGGUCGAGGAUCACAGGCACGCACGCACUCAUGGCUGGGAGGUCCCCCCAGCCCCUGCUUCUCGGGCAUCGGUUAAUUGCAGAUCAUGAGCAUGCGCAGGGGUGCGCGUAGCUCCCUCAUGACCCUGCCUUCUUGGCGUCAUUCUGUCAGAGCCAGGACUAGAGCCAGCCUCCUCUGGUUGACUGGGCACUGAGGACAGCAGGCUUCACAUACCCUGGUACUGGUCAGCAGUCAGCAUGCCCAUGGGAGUGUGUUUAGCCAGUAAGGAGCAUGGUCCGGCAUUUUAGCAUGGACAGCAGUUAAAAGACAAAGAGCCUACCUGGCACCGUGGUCCACGCCUGUAAUCCCAGUACUAGGGAGGCUGAGGCAGGAGGAUCGGAUCACUGUGAGUUCCAACCCAGCCUGAACUACAUAGCAAGACCCUGUCUUAAAAAAAUAAACAAAAAAGGACAAAGAGCCUUUAUCCUAGCAAAGGUUGGCUUUCACCUAUGAGCUCAUACCCUCUCCCUUCCAUUCCUCUCUCUGCUUCUCCUGCUGUUCUGAUCUGGGCUUGCAAAUUCUAGUCUGGUGUUUGCUCCCCAACCUCCAUCUCCCUCUGCCUUCAGGAUUUGGGGUGACUCACUUUUACUUUCAUGAAACCACUGGCCCUGGCAUAGGAUUCCAAAUGGCAUCAAUGACCCCAUCCUAAUAGGGUCGCCCCUGCCUGCUGGCCCGCCUCUCCCCACAGGACAGGAAGCUGGGGUGGAGGUCCGCAGGACGUCGCUGUGCUGGGCACAGAGUCCCUCUGGAGAGCAGAAGAGGCAGGAGUGUCGGGGACCCCACUUCCCUGGAGGAGGUGCCGCAUUCGUCUCUGGUCCUCCUCCACUCAGCCCAUCUACAGGUGACCCUAGGCCCCAGAGAUUCUUGCACUAUUUGUCGCAGUGAUCAGCUUAUUUCACUUAGCAUAAUGUUCCCAGAGCUCAUCCAUGUUACAGCAUGUGUCAGAAUUUUUCCCAUUUUUUUUUUCGUUUUGUGGGGUUUUGAGGGGAUUUGUUUUUGCUUUUUGUUUUUGUUUUUCUUUUUUUUUUUUUUUUUUUUUGAGACAAGGUCUCACUAUGUGGGUCUAGGUUGGGUAUGAAUUCACUACAUAGUCUAGACUGGCCUCAAGUUCAUGGCAAUCCUCCUGCCUCAGCCUCUAGAUUUUCUUUUUAAAGUUGAAUAAUAUUCCAUUGUGUAUAUGUAUUGCAUCUUGGAUCAGAUUGGAUUGGAUUGGACUGGAUUGGAGACAGGGUCUCCCUAUGUAGUUCAGGCUGGCCUUGAACUCACUAUGUAGCCCAACCUGGCCUCGAACUUGUGGUGAUCCUCCUGCCUCCUCCUUCUGGGUUCUUGGAUUAUAAAUGUGCACUAUCACAUCCGGUUACAUCUUGUUUCUUGCUUCAUCCAUCCGUGGACACUUGGGUUGCUUCCACCUUUUAGUUAUUGUGAAUAAAGCUGCUAUGAACCCAGUGUACAAAUAUUUGAAUCUAUUUGCUAUUUCUUUAAAAGCACACGUUAUGAAAGGGAUGGUUAUUUUUUUCCUUCUUUUUCAUUUCAUGUUCCCACUUUCAUGUUCUCCACAUCCUAUGCCAACACUUGCUAUUUCUUUUAACUUUUUUGGUGCUGAGGAUUGGACCUGGGGCUUUACACAUGCUAAGGUCAUAUGCUAGCUCUGAGCUAUAUCCUAACCCCCAGGAUGGCUACCUUUUAAAGGACACAUAGAAAAUGGGUAGAUAAGGGGCAGGGAGAGGAGAUCACCUGCACUGCAGGUCCUUGAAUAUGUUCCCAUUUUUUGAGUCACCUGAAUGUAUUACUUAUUUUAAAAAGUUAUGGCUAGGAUGUAGCUCAGUAGUAGCACACUUCCCUAGCAUGCAGGAGAUUCAGUCUGAUCCCCCGUACUGUGAAA